This is a long non-coding RNA of Hydra vulgaris (swiftwater hydra), 988 nucleotides long. RefSeq lists it as uncharacterized. The record is from RefSeq and is a predicted model, not a curated record. Lineage: Eukaryota; Metazoa; Cnidaria; Hydrozoa; Anthoathecata; Hydridae.
UAUAAAACUUUUUAUCGGCGUAAAAUGCUACCGGCUGUAAAUUUUAUCGGCGUAAAUGAUUUGUUUCAAUGUUAUAAAAGUUUUUUCAAAAUUACCGUCGAUAAAUUUCUACAGCCGAAACGUUUAUAGUCGAUAAAUGUUCCGGAGGAGCGACCUACGGAAAUUUUUGUUGAAGAUCCAGAGAGAUGAAUAUUUUGUUGUAGAAACCUAUGGUUUAGAACUUUUUAAAGUACUUACCUUGAGUUGAAAACUUAAUACAAAUUCUUUCAUUUUAAUUAAGUGCACAUUUCUUGGUAAAUUUUAAUUUCGAGCGAUUUUUUUGUUAAAAAUUUUGAUACUGAAUUUGUCAUGUAAGAAAUACAUUGGAACCUGAAAAAAAACCAUCAGGAAUUUAAAGUGUUUGAAAAGGAAUUUAAAGUGUUUCCAAAGUUUGUUAUUGAGCUAAUUAGAAAAAGGCUCUUAUGCUAGAUUUAUUAGGACUAUUUAUUGAUCCAAAAAUCAGAUCAACUUUAGUAUUAGACAUACUCAAAGUGGACAGGCAAAAGAAAUUUCUCUAUUUAAAAUUUAUGCCGAGGUUAUUUGAAAUUCGAAAUAUUAAAAUAAGUGGUCAAACUAUAAACAGAAUUAUUAAAGUUCUAAAAAUUACCUUUGAUGCUUGAAUAUGGUAUGAGCUCAUGAAAAUGUAUACUUGAUAUUUAAAAAUUAAUUGAACCACCUCGAUGUUGGCUCAAAUAUUUUUGAUAAAGUCAGAUAACAAAAUACAUCAAAAAAUUUUCUUCUUAUUCAGGAAGUGUUUAGACAUUAUGUACAACUUGUUUCCAGAGUUUCUCAUAUUGUCUAUGGUAUGGAAGCACAUCAAAACUAAUUGUGGAUAAAAUUCUAAUCAGAAAGCAUCAAAAGAGUUUUAUGUUUAAAUGUUUAUUUGUGUCUAAAUAAAUUUUUGUUACAAGAAUUUGAGUUUGUGUAUAAUACUAUUAAUUAUUUAAUA